This 234-nucleotide ribosomal RNA is filed under the name uncultured bacterium. Its description in RNAcentral is "partial 16S ribosomal RNA". It matches the Rfam family "Bacterial small subunit ribosomal RNA", at positions 15 to 244 of the family's 1533-position model. The record is from RNAcentral.
GAUCCUGGCUCAGGACGAACGCUGGCGGCGCGCCUAACGCAUGCAAGUCGAACGAGCGAGAGAGAGCUUGCUUUCUCAAGCGAGUGGCGAACGGGUGAGUAACGCGUGAGGAACCUGCCUCAAAGAGGGGGACAACAGCUGGAAACGACUGCUAAUACCGCAUAAGCCCACGACCCGGCAUCGGGUAGAGGGAAAAGGAGCAAUCCGCUUUGAGAUGGCCUCGCGUCCGAUUAG